CCUGUAUCGCUUCGUGUGUUGGCAGCUGGGGAACCUCGUCCUCCUGAGAGAAGAAUCAAGCCUUUCAGGUGUGAUUGGAUCCAGCUUCCUCAAGUGCAUCACCGCAGUGACAGGACACACAGAGGCGCCUGCUCCCACACCACCCCCGAGGAAUGCGCGGAGCGUCGUGUGCGGGAAACGGUCAGGAGUCUUGCUCACGUGUUCCUGAAGCUGAGUGCCACACGCGGGGCUGCUUGCUCUGAGAGUCGGUGAGGGGGAGAGGAGGGGGAGAGGAAGGGGAGAGGGCCACAACGCCCAGGUCCCCAGACCUGAGCCACAGUGCUGAGGACAUUGGAUCCCACGCCGUGCUGCCCUGUGCUGCUGGAGAUGCGGGGCACGAGACUCGAU
Molecule: long non-coding RNA, 387 nt
Filed under: Chinchilla lanigera (long-tailed chinchilla)
Lineage: Eukaryota; Metazoa; Chordata; Mammalia; Rodentia; Chinchillidae
Description: lncRNA (ENSCLAG00000022670.1)
Source: RNAcentral